AACGAACGCUGGCGGCAUGCCUAACACAUGCAAGUCGAACGAGACCUUCGGGUCUAGUGGCGCACGGGUGCGUAACGCGUGGGAACCUGCCCUUAGGUUCGGAAUAACUCCCCGAAAGGGGUGCUAAUACCGGAUAAUGUCUUCGGACCAAAGAUUUAUCGCCUUUGGAUGGGCCCGCGUUGGAUUAGCUAGUUGGUAGGGUAAAAGCCUACCAAGGCGACGAUCCAUAGCUGGUCUGAGAGGAUGAUCAGCCACACUGGGACUGAGACACGGCCCAGACUCCUACGGGAGGCGGCAGUGGGGAAUAUUGGACAAUGGGCGAAAGCCUGAUCCAGCAAUGCCGCGUGAGUGAUGAAGGCCUUAGGGUUGUAAAGCUCUUUUACCCGGGAUGAUAAUGACAGUACCGGGGGAAUAAGCUCCGGCUAACUCCGUG
This 433-nucleotide ribosomal RNA is filed under the name uncultured bacterium. RNAcentral's name for it is "partial 16S ribosomal RNA". It matches the Rfam family "Bacterial small subunit ribosomal RNA", at positions 29 to 507 of the family's 1533-position model. The record is from RNAcentral.